Molecule: ribosomal RNA, 253 nt
Filed under: uncultured bacterium
Lineage: Bacteria
Description: partial 16S ribosomal RNA
Rfam family: Bacterial small subunit ribosomal RNA
Source: RNAcentral
UACGUAGGGUGCAAGCGUUAAUCGGAAUGACUGGGCGUAAAGCGUGCGCAGGCGGCUCCUUAAGUCAGAUAUGAAAGCCCCGGGCUUAACCUGGGAACUGCGUUUGAAACUGGGGAGCUAGAGUGUGGAAGAGGGGGGUGGAAUUCCAGGUGUAGCAGUGAAAUGCGUAGAGAUCUGGAGGAACACCGAUGGCGAAGGCAGCCCCCUGGGCUAACACUGACGCUCAUGCACGAAAGCGUGGGGAGCAAACAGG